UGGGGAAUAUUGCACAAUGGGGGAAACCCUGAUGCAGCGACGCCGCGUGAGCGAAGAAGUAUUUCGGUAUGUAAAGCUCUAUCAGCAGGGAAGAAACUGACGGUACCUGACUAAGAAGCACCGGCUAAAUACGUGCCAGCAGCCGCGGUAAUACGUAUGGUGCAAGCGUUAUCCGGAUUUACUGGGUGUAAAGGGAGCGUAGACGGAUAGGCAAGUCUGGAGUGAAAGCCCGGGGCUCAACCCCGGGACUGCUUUGGAAACUGUUUAUCUAGAGUGCUGGAGAGGUAAGUGGAAUUCCUAGUGUAGCGGUGAAAUGCGUAGAUAUUAGGAGGAACACCAGUGGCGAAGGCGGCUUACUGAACAGUAACUGACGUUGAGGCUCGAAAGCGUGGGGAGCAAACA
RNAcentral lists this ribosomal RNA (402 nucleotides) under uncultured bacterium. RNAcentral describes it as "bacterial SSU rRNA". It matches the Rfam family "Bacterial small subunit ribosomal RNA", at positions 355 to 774 of the family's 1533-position model. The record is from RNAcentral.